Molecule: ribosomal RNA, 250 nt
Filed under: uncultured bacterium
Lineage: Bacteria
Description: partial 16S ribosomal RNA
Rfam family: Bacterial small subunit ribosomal RNA
Source: RNAcentral
UACAGAGGCGGCAAGCGUUGUUCGGAAUUAUUGGGCGUAAAGAGCACGUAGGCGGCUGUGUAAGUCGGUUGUGAAAGCCUUCCGCUCAACGGAAGAACGGCAUCCGAUACUGCAUGGCUUGAGUGUGGGAGGGGAGAGUGGAACUUCUGGUGGAGCGGUGAAAUGCGUAGAUAUCGGAAGGAACGCCGGUGGCGAAAGCGACGCACUGGACCUCUUCUGACGCUGAGGCGCGAAAGCCAGGGGAGCAAAC